This 1532-nucleotide long non-coding RNA is filed under the name Gallus gallus (chicken). Its description in RNAcentral is "lncRNA (ENSGALG00010030065.1)". The record is from RNAcentral. Lineage: Eukaryota; Metazoa; Chordata; Aves; Galliformes; Phasianidae.
AAGGGAUGGAAAGUAAUGGGGGAAUGUAAUAUUGUCGUGAUGCAAACGAGCAGUGCUGCUGUCUCUGAAUACAAAAAAAUAAUGAUUUUUGCACCUUGAAAGGGUCUUGCAGUUCUGCUGGGUGUACGGAGCGGAAUGGGAAUAGUGAUUGUGAGAUGGGCAGUUCCCCAUUAGGGCAGAAUGAAUGGCUGCACCAGCCCUGGGAUGGGGGUUCAAGCCCUAUUCUUAUAGGAAGAACUGCACCCCAAAGUGAGCGCAGCACCACAUUGAACCCUUCUGGCUUCACUGUGGCCGUCCCUCGGUCUCCCAUCUGCAUGAGAAUAAUUCCACCCUUCCUCAUGGGGCUGUUGUAAGGCAAAUUAAUGUUUGCAAACCACUCGGAUACUACAAUAAUAAAUGCUGGGAAAGCCCAGGAGAAAAUUAAUAGCUCAUUAUUUAGAGCAGGACUUCAAUAGCAUGCCAUGCGCAGGAUAUGGAGCUACGUGUUGAGUGAUGAGGAUAAAGAAAAAUAUUGAAUAGCUGCUCAUUAGGAGAGCACCAUCCAUCUGGUGUGCGGAUGGGGCUUUUUCAUGCAGAAAGUGGUGCGUGGCCAUUGUUAGGCAGUGUGUUCUGCUGGAUCCAUGCGAGGGGAUGGGGUCAGGGUUGGGUGCACAGCCCAGAUUUUGGCAUUUUUCUACUUCCAAGUGCUUGACUGCAACCUGACUGCUCUUUCAGCACUGGGGUUGGGUUGAAUAUAUAGCGAAGAGAUAAAAAUGCCAGUAGAUGGCACUCAAGAAUAUGAAGCAUCAUUCUCGGGUGCGUGAGAGCAAUAAAAUGUGUUGUUGUGGUCCACAAAUGGCUUCCUCUGAGCUGCUGCUUUCUGCCUUUUCCUGGCCUGUGAGCUCCACGAGCAGAGGAGAAGCAAGGAUGGCAGCACUUGUGAGGACACGGAAGCUUCUGGCUCUGAAUUUAAACCCGAAGACAGUCGAGAUCUCAAUGACAGCCAGGUCAGUCUCUUGGGUUUAAUUGUCUUUUAAAUGAGUAACUAAAUUGUGAUGUUAACACUGAUGGUGUCCAUGCCUUCUGCAUGCCCUGUUUUGCAAAAGUGAAUCCUUAUCAUUGCUGAGAUGUGUUGUGGAAAAGGCACUGGGCCAGGCUGAUGUUUUAGACUUGGAACUCAGUUUCUGGAUGGGCACGAGCUCUCCGUGAAGCUCUUUGGUGUGAGAUAUGGAGGCAGAUCAAGGCAGGUUGGUUUGUGUGAGCCUGAGGGUGCAAGUCCUGCAGGAGGUCCUGCACUCGUCCAGAUCUCUGUCCCUGCUGCCUUUCUGUGGGGAACAAAGGGGAGGUGCUGUAUGAGACUCGGUGUGGUCUGCAGAUUCCUUCUGGAAUAGGACAAGUGUUCCAAAACAAACAAAUCCCCCCUGCAAAUAUUUGUUUAAAUGCUCCGCUUUUACAGUUGAUAUUCCAUUUGCAUGUGGGAUGGGGAAAUGAUGCGUUUUAACCCAAACAGUGGAAAUGAGAAUGAGAGAGAAACCAGCAGAUAAAAAUGUGUG